Mercurialis annua (annual mercury) is the source of this 409-nucleotide long non-coding RNA. RefSeq lists it as uncharacterized. The record is from RefSeq and is a predicted model, not a curated record. The transcript is spliced from 2 exons. NCBI's taxonomy places the organism in Eukaryota, Viridiplantae, Streptophyta, Magnoliopsida, Malpighiales, Euphorbiaceae.
CGAGACUGUUGAGUUGUUUUGCUGCUCUUCAUUACUUUCAUCGUUCAACGUCUGGGUAGGCGCUGGGGCUGGCGGAGGAAGAUGCAUGCCAGACUGGAGUAGCUCCUCAUCAAGUUCUGUUAUGUUGGAGCUCUAAGAACAACACAAUAAGCAAAUUAACAUCAUCAUCUUUGAAGAAACUUGAAAAAGACCCAUCAGUGAUUGAAUCCAACUAAUAAUAAUAUCAAGAAUGAAGAGUUGAUGCCUGGAAUAAACAAGAUCUGCAUAAGAACUGUGAAUGGAACAACUUUAUUAAAUUAAUGCCUCAGUUACACGAUUUAUAUCCUAUAUUGUCACACGGGGAUCACAAAAUAUGUGUUUGAAUGCUUCAUCUUUUACCUAUAAAUGUUAAAUUAUCUCACUUGUAUCA